RNAcentral lists this ribosomal RNA (497 nucleotides) under uncultured bacterium. Its description in RNAcentral is "partial 16S ribosomal RNA". It matches the Rfam family "Bacterial small subunit ribosomal RNA", at positions 28 to 507 of the family's 1533-position model. The record is from RNAcentral.
GAUGAACGCUGGCGGCGUGCCUAAUACAUGCAAGUCGAGCGAACAGACGAGGAGCUUGCUCCUCUGACGUUAGCGGCGGACGGGUGAGUAACACGUGGAUAACCUACCUAUAAGACUGGGAUAACUUCGGGAAACCGGAGCUAAUACCGGAUAAUAUAUUGAACCGCAUGGUUCAAUAGUGAAAGGCGGUUUUGCUGUCACUUAUAGAUGGAUCCGCGCCGCAUUAGGUAGUUGGUAAGGUAACGGUUUACCAAGGCAACGAUGCGUAGCCGACCUGAGAGGGUGAUCGGCCACCCUGGAACUGAGACACGGCCCAGACUCCUACGGGAGGCAGCAGUAGGGAAUCUUCCGCAAUGGGCGAAAGCCUGACGGAGCAACGCCGCGUGAGUGAUGAAGGUCUUCGGAUCGUAAAACUCUGUUAUUAGGGAAGAACAAAUGUGUAAGUAACUAUGCACGUCUUGACGGUACCUAAUCAGAAAGCCACGGCUAACUACGUG